GAUGCAGGCUGUUCAUAUAUCUAAAUCAUAUGUGAAGAAAGGGCAGGGCAAGACCGGUGCCAGCCGCCGCGGUAAUACCGGCUGCUCGAGUGAUGGCCACUAUUACUGGGUUUAAAGCGUCCGUAGCUUGACUGUUAGGUCUCUUGGGUAAUCUUCGCGCUCAACGUGAAGGUGUCUAAGAGAUACCGGCAGUCUUGGAACUGGGAGAGGUAAACCGUACUUCGGGGGUAGGAGUGAAAUCUUGUAAUCCUCGAGGGACGACCUAUGGCGAAGGCAGUUUACCAGAACAGCUUCGACAGUGAGGGACGAAAGCUGGGGGAGCAAACGGGAUUAGAUACCCCGGUAGUCCCAGCCGUAAACAAUGUGCGUUAGGUGUGUCGGUAACCACGUGUUACUGAUGCGCCGAAGAGAAAUCGUGAAACGCACCACCUGGGAAGUACGGUCGCAAGGCUGAAACUUUAAGGAAUUGGCGGGGGAGCACCACAACAGGUGGAGCCUGCGGUUUAAUUGG
RNAcentral lists this ribosomal RNA (511 nucleotides) under uncultured archaeon. Its description in RNAcentral is "bacterial SSU rRNA". It matches the Rfam family "Archaeal small subunit ribosomal RNA", at positions 399 to 909 of the family's 1478-position model. The record is from RNAcentral.